This 256-nucleotide ribosomal RNA is filed under the name uncultured bacterium. RNAcentral describes it as "partial 16S ribosomal RNA". It matches the Rfam family "Bacterial small subunit ribosomal RNA", at positions 524 to 776 of the family's 1533-position model. The record is from RNAcentral.
UACGGAGGGUGCGAGCGUUGUCCGGAAUCAUUGGGCGUAAAGGGCGCGUAGGUGGCCCGGUCAGUCUUUGGUGAAAGCGCGGGGCUCAACCCUGCGUCGGCCAGGGAUACUGCCGCGGCUGGAGCACUGUAGAGGCAGGCGGAAUUCCGGGUGUAGCGGUGGAAUGCGUAGAGAUCCGGAGGAACACCGGUGGCGAAGGCGGCCUGCUGGGCAGUUUUGCUGACACUGAGGCGCGACAGCGUGGGGAGCAAACAGG